Molecule: long non-coding RNA, 691 nt
Filed under: Helianthus annuus (common sunflower)
Lineage: Eukaryota; Viridiplantae; Streptophyta; Magnoliopsida; Asterales; Asteraceae
Description: sRNA HanXRQr2_Chr17g0785511
Source: RNAcentral
UUAGUUAGUUUGAAUGAUACAUUCACAUCCGCCUGUAAAAUAACAAACAUGACAUACAUACGACUACAAAAGAGACCAAAACAAAGUUAAUGACUUACCUGCGAAGCAGUUAUGCCCAAAAUUUCAUGUAAUGAUCCAGCUUCAAGAGAUUUAUUUUUAAAACUAACUUCGUUUUCAUGUAACAUUUUAAAUUCCUCAAUAGGCCAUUGUACUAGCUGCUUUUGGUUUUGAUCAAGCCAAAUGCUCCUUGGAAAUGACUGCAUACCAUCCUUUAGCAUGAGCAUCUUCAUCAGAAUCGGAUUCAUUGACCCAACCCAUCAAGAUUCUUCUGUUUUUUACGGGGUCAAAGAAUGAUUUCGACGCAUAAAACUUCCCAUAAUCAUAUCGCAAGGAGCCAAGAGUUAGUUCACUCUGAGGAACAAAGUGUUCAUUCUCCGGAUUGUAAUUACCGAUCAAGUAGUAGUCUCUUCCACAAUCGAACGCUGCCAUCUUCAACACAUGCUUUACUCUAGAGUUCAUUACAGAUGUAUCAACCCCAUUGUUGCUAUCAACGCACACCGGAAAGAAAUCAGGGCAUUCCCAUAUCCCACUGCCAGCAACUUCAUAAAGUGGUGAUUCCCACAUACUCCAGUUUACAAAAUCCUCAGAUCGAUAAAGAAACGCCAUUCCCGUCCCUUCUCUCCUACUACCG